GUAGAAUUAAUCAAUGCUGUCUGCGAAACAUGCGGAGCUUUGUCCAAAUUGUAUGGGAUAUACCACUUGAUCCAAGUUGUCGAUAUCCACGACACUUGUCCUUGCGCAUCCAUAGGAGUUUCGGUUGCACAGUCGUCAGAGUAAGCACUUUUCACCUCUGAAAUCGUAGGUUCAAUUCUCGCCACGGACUCCUCUCUCAGCCAAGCAAAUCCAAGCACGACGGAAACAUUUUGCGAAUCUGAGGGUCAAUAUCUCGUAAUCUACUGAAUUAUAUUAUCAACUUAUCAACAAAGUUUUUGUGCUGUUUUCAAAUCCCUCAAGUGAUAUAGGCAAUGGAAAUAUAGAACUGUCACACCUCAUAUCUGUAACUCUUCUUUGGUUUUUCCCGACUGUGACAUGCAAACUUUCCUUGUUAUAUUAUCAAUGCUACAACGACGAAACGUUUGUUAUUUAACAACAAAAGGAAAAAUAGUUUUGCGUGCUUUUCUCUACAGCAGAUAUAGAGACGUAUAUCGCGGUUUGCGAGUAAUUUAGAAUUGUUAUUUGUGUGGAUAUAUGAACUUCAACUUCGUCUCCCAAACAUCGUAUGUUUCUUUCUUAUAAGCCCGAG
This is a non-coding RNA of Paramuricea clavata, 610 nucleotides long. The record is from the annotation of a GenBank genome assembly. Lineage: Eukaryota; Metazoa; Cnidaria; Anthozoa; Malacalcyonacea; Plexauridae.